Molecule: ribosomal RNA, 397 nt
Filed under: uncultured bacterium
Lineage: Bacteria
Description: partial 16S ribosomal RNA
Rfam family: Bacterial small subunit ribosomal RNA
Source: RNAcentral
AUACGUAGGGGGCGAGCGUUGUCCGGAAUGAUUGGGCGUAAAGGGCGCGUAGGCGGCCCGGUAAGUCUGGAGUGAAAGUCCUGUUUUUAAGAUGGGAAUUGCUUUGGAUACUGUCGGGCUUGAGUGCAGGAGAGGUAAGUGGAAUUCCCAGUGUAGCGGUGAAAUGCGUAGAGAUUGGGAGGAACACCAGUGGCGAAGGCGACUUACUGGACUGUAACUGACGCUGAGGCGCGAAAGUGAGGGGAGCAAACAGGAUUAGAUACCCUGGUAGUCCACACUGUAAACGAUGAAUGCUAGGUGUAGGGGGUAUCGACCCCUUCUGUGCCGCAGUCAACACAAUAAGCAUUCCGCCUGGGGAGUACGGCCGCAAGGUUGAAACUCAAAUGAAUUGGCGGGG